This is a long non-coding RNA of Catharus ustulatus (Swainson's thrush), 601 nucleotides long. RefSeq lists it as uncharacterized. The transcript is spliced from 3 exons. NCBI's taxonomy places the organism in Eukaryota, Metazoa, Chordata, Aves, Passeriformes, Turdidae. The record is from RefSeq and is a predicted model, not a curated record.
UGCCUGCCUGCCUUCCAGUGUUCCUGAGAAGAGCUGAUAGCACAGGCUCAGCAGGCUGAGGUCAACUGCUGGCAGCCAGGAGACAGAGAUGCAAGAGAUUGCCAAAGAUCCUAAGCCUGCACUAAACAGCACGGAUGAUUGGUGAUUUUGGAGACAAAACUCUGUUGGGAGUGACCAUGUCAGUGUUCUGCUGUUGUGAUUCAUCUUUAAAAUCUUCUCCACGGAGUGUGAAGGACAUCCCCUCAAUUAAUGGGUUUGGUGAUUUGCUUAAGUCAACACUGCUGUGUUCAGCAGGUUUGUGCUGAAGAAAAAGUCUGCUGGAUUUCAAGAUAGUGCCAUUAAAGCCAGGUGCAUUUGUGGCAGGCUGGAAUGACAGAAGUCCAGCAUCUUUACCCCUAAGUCAGCCUGGGGUACAGCACUGAGGCUGGUAGAAGAGAACUGGCUUGGGUGGCAUUUGGGAGCUCUGAACUGAGCACAGCAGAUCCAGCAUGACUGAAGUCUCCAAUCCCCACUGCAAGGUAAACUGCUGUAAAGUAGCAAAAAUCGUUAUUUUCAGUGCAGAAAUCCUCUGUCUAAUAUCUGAGGAUUCCUUCAGUUCUGU